UUUUCAGACAAGACUCAGAAACCAUUUUAUUAAAUUGGAACACAAAAUGCCUGUUAUAAUAAUGUCAAGCCUUUAUCAGAAAUCAGUACAUAAGUCAGGAUACACAGCCAAAAUGAGCCAUCAACAAAAGCAGUAUAAAUUUUAAAUAAGUUUCAGAUUUCUAUACUCAAUGUGCUAAAGAAAAUAAAACCGAAAGAGCAAUUUCAAUUUCACAAUUCACAGUUGAUUGGUUUUAAUCCCAUGACACAGGUGUCAUUCUGCAGCCCCAGAACACAGAUUUCCAAAGCAGUGACUGGCAUUCUGACCCAGCAGCACACACAGAUCUUAAGUCCCUGGAUGACAUUUAGAGAAAAUUUUAAUCAACCACCCUAAUUACACACAGUUUGGGCUGACAUUUUUUAGCUAUAUUCUUUACCAAAGAUAGUUCUAGUGAAAUAGCAAAAGCAGUUUUAAAAGUUUGCCAUGCCAUUAAAUGAAGGGUUCUAAAGUCUCCCUUGGUUUUACAUUUUAUUCUCUAAUUUAAAACAAUAAGUGCAUUAAAAUGCAACCUUAAUGGAGAAAGCAAAAUCAGUUUUGCUUCUGAAUCUAGAGCACAUAUCCAAGGAGAGGCAACUUAUUGUCCCAGCAGAUAAAUGGAAUGCUUUAAAGCAGGAUCUGACAUACUCCAGUAAGGCAUUUCAAAGCAGACACAUCAUACCCAAACUAAAUCAUUAUGGUCAGUCAAGGAUACCACAGGUGAACACCAAGUAACACAGAGUUAACGUGAAAUUCUUACAAAUGACACACGAUUUACAAAACCCCAGAAAGGUACUCAGGUACCAAAAGAGGGCAAAACAAUGACCAGCCACUCCAAAAGAGUUUUGUUACUGUACAUGCCAUAUUUGCAGAGUAGAAAUAAACUGCUCUAUAUGCGCUCUGCCCUAGGAUAUCACUCAUUCUGACAUGUGGAAUUACUUUUCCUUAAAAAAAUAUAUCAUGUAGAGAAUACACCAAUAAUAAAUGAUAUAGAACAUUUAUUAUUUUCACUAGUGAGGGGGUCGCUUAAGCACUUACAAAGACUUAUAAAUGAAUCAUGAAGGUCAUCAAAAUGCAAAAACAUCUGAUAAAUGCUGCAUUAUUAGUAUUCAACAGUGCAGCAAGAUUUUUAGUAACUGCAUCGGGCUUAAUUUGGAACUAUAGCCAUGAGAAUAUCUUUAAGUUCAAACAACUGCCAAAUGUCCAAAAAUAAAAGUGUAAUUAGUAAAAAUAUGUAUUUUCCCUCCAAGUGCCCAAAGGAAGUAUUCAAUUACUUUGGAAGCCAUGAAUUUUAUCAAACACACACAAGAAUAUGAAUCUGGAACACUUCAAUUCUGAUUCAAUUCUACCCACUGAAUCUUCAUGACCUGAAGAAAGUCACUUAAAUUCUUUAGAUUUAUUCACAAAAAGUGGGCAUAAAAAUAAAGGCAUAUGUAAAAAAAAAUUUUCUAAACAUGACUACAGUAAAGCUAAAGAUGGUUACUAAGGCUUACAAUUUCAACAACUCAUUGUACAGUACAAUCAUUUUUAAUUCUGCUAAUUAUAGUUGGAGGAAACAUGGAUAAUUACAAUUCUCAGAGAAUUCAAACAGAAUUCUUUAGAAAAAUUAAUAGCUUCAACUUACUAAGCUACUAAAUCUGUUCUCCUAGAGUUGUUUAAAACAGCUAAUUAUAUAGGGGUUUGACCCUUACUCCCCUCUACCUUCUGGUAGAGCAGCUCAAAGUAGUGAAAGGAGAAGUGACAAGAGGGAGAAAAGCAGCAACAGAUUGAAAUGAGGUAUUCGCUGAUUUCAUAAACCCCAAUCAGUAAUUUACAGUUUUUUGAAGAAGCUGCAUAGUUUGGCAAAAAUACAUCAUCAGAAUUAGGGAAAAGAAAAAUUAUAUUGAAAUUUUAAAAUUUAUGACAAGCAUUUAAAAAUGACCAAUUCUAAAAUAAACUUGUAUUUGAGAAUUGUCCUCCCUCACCGUAAGCACACACAAGAAGAGAAACUGGAAGACAAAAGUCCACAGGAGGAAAAAAAAAGUGUAUUAAUUGGCUCAGGUUAUCAACUUCAUACAUCACUUUCAAAAAAAGAUAUUUAAAUGAAUGUUAAACCUUAAUUAAUGACACCCAUGCUAAGAAUUUAGGGCAGUGUAUUGCCUAAAAUUUACUUUGGAAUGUUCUUUUAAAAAAAAAAAAAAAAA
This is a long non-coding RNA of Macaca fascicularis (crab-eating macaque), 2198 nucleotides long. NCBI's taxonomy places the organism in Eukaryota, Metazoa, Chordata, Mammalia, Primates, Cercopithecidae. The record is from Ensembl.